Oreochromis aureus is the source of this 563-nucleotide long non-coding RNA. The record is from Ensembl. Lineage: Eukaryota; Metazoa; Chordata; Actinopteri; Cichliformes; Cichlidae.
CAAAAAAAGGAAGAUAGAUGUAAUCUUUUAGUCAGCAAAGCUUUGAAGCCCACAAGCUCAGGAAAUGCUUUGUUGUUGUAUGUAAGGCUGAAAGCACGUCAAGAAGUCAGUGAGUGUAUUAGAGACAGCAAGAACGAUGACAGUGUUUAAGACACGUGGGUGUUUGCUAGCAGCAAUCAGGAUUAUCUUUUUAACUGAGUUUUUGCUGACAGGUGUGAGAGGAGACGGCCCAGAGUCAAAAACAUUAGAUGUCAACAUGAGAAGAUUUUCAGAGCCUCAGUUGCACUCUUUGAGCCAUCUCAGCCAAUCAGAACGCUCCGAUGCAGCGGUGUCCAGAGGCGUGUGAUGACAGAGGUCUGGCACAGUGACGAGCCUGAUGCUGUAACCCUGCAAAAAGUGAAACAUCAACCUGGUGGCCUUUUUUUGUUCUUUUGUUUUUUUUGUUUUUCAGUGUUGGAAUUGUUGCAGAAUUUCAACAUUGAGUUUUACCUCUUUUACUUUCUCUGUAACAUUUGUUAUAAUUGUGUUCAUAAAAAAAUAUCUAAAGAAGACUUGCUUUGUGC